CUACAAAAACUAGUUUUUGCGUCGGUCAACGCUACUAUUCACAGCGUUGACCGACGUGAAUAGUGUGCAAAAGAUAGGACUGUCGCUUACUAAACGCCAUUAAAAAAUAUUGAUUUGCGUCGUAUAGUAAAAUGACGCUACAAAUAAAACUGACGGCAAAGAAAGCAAAGAAAAAUUAAAAAUGGAGAUCUUAUCUCGUCGGUUAAUUGUAAUCGAGUAAAAGUUUUGUCAGCUUUUAAAAUUGACGAGAAAUAAAAUAGCGAGGAACAACUUCUAAAUCCCUAAACCCCCAAAUCGAUCCCACUGUUCACAUUCGUCUUCAAUCGUUUUGAAGACAAAAAAGCUCUGAGGAUUUGCCUUCUUCGACCCAUUGUCGAUCCUCCAUCGUCGACCGCUCCGCUCUCCUCUUCGUCUCCAUUGUCGAUCCUCCACCGUCAACCACUCUGCUUCUCUUUCCCUUACAACCCUCACAUUACCCUUUUUCUUUGACCCUCGAUAACUCUUCUUCUAAAUCUUCACUUGGAUUGUGAUUUUUCUGUGUAACUUUUUGUAUUAUGCUUAAUUGCUAUAAUAUAUAUAUAUAUUCACCCUCGCGGUAACCCUUUGCCCAAAACACUCCAUCGUCUCCUAAGUACUGAACGAAGUAGAUCUUCCCUUUCUCGGCAGCCACCUUCAUGGAGCCUCACUCUGUCUCAUAGUCUCUACGAAGUUUUAAUUAGGUGAUUAUAGCUUCCCUUCUCCUUGAAUAACUGGGCAAAGUGGUGCUUGGAGUAAAGAAUUCCAUCCAAAGCAGCAUAGGAUGAUGUUGACAGGAAGCAACCACCAUGAUUACACGUAAAGCAUGACUUGUGGUAAAACUCUCCCUCCAUAGUUACGUGUUGUAAACAACAACACAAAAUACAAUGUGGCCCAGACGUUUGAUUAUUUGUCACAAUGAAAAAAGUUAUCAAUUCUCAUUAAUGACUUAAGUGGUGAACUCCAAAGCCUAAAAUUACAAUUGGGAUUUGAUGAAAUUGAAUGGGAAUUAUUGAUUUCAAUUGGCCAUUGCAGCUCUUAUAUAUACUCUGGUCGAAGAUCAGGGUAUACAAAAGCUAAAGGAUUAGAGAUGUCAACUGCCAAGAAGCUUCUUCCAGUGUCAUUGUUCUAUAAUGCUAAUGUGGCAUUUGCCUUGGCAAGCUUGAAGGGAGUUAAUAUUCCAAUGUACAUUGCUAUAAAGGGACUCACACCACUCGCAGUUUUGAUUGACGGGUUCUUCUCAGGAAAGGGAAGACCUACAACACAGGUAUGUUAUGAUGCUUAGACUAUUUUCAAUUCAGUUUAGGUUGUUUGUACAAGUGUAUCUAAGAAAAUUUAUAUUCUCACUUUGUGUGGAUAUGGAAUAUUGUCAAUUGUGAAAUAUUUCAUGGAUUACAAUGACUAGAUUGGAGUAAGUAGGACUUACUCAUAUCAUAUGUGGAAAGUGAUAAUUGCUGGAAAUAUUUGAAAAGAAGAGAAGAAAUUUUUUUAGAGUUUGUAUAGUUUAAUUUGAAAAAAGAGGUUGUAUAUUUAUUGUUCCUUUUGUUGUAAUAUAAAGGAUAUAUAUUAAUGUCAGGAUGCAUUGACAAUCA
Molecule: RNA transcript, 1607 nt
Organism: Cannabis sativa
Lineage: Eukaryota; Viridiplantae; Streptophyta; Magnoliopsida; Rosales; Cannabaceae
Gene name: UDP-galactose/UDP-glucose transporter 7-like
Exons: 3
Source: RefSeq, a predicted model, not a curated record